GGAAGCAGCUUGCUGCUUUGCUGACGAGUGGCGGACGGGUGAGUAAUGUCUGGGAAACUGCCUGAUGGAGGGGGAUAACUACUGGAAACGGUAGCUAAUACCGCAUAACGUCGCAAGACCAAAGAGGGGGACCUUCGGGCCUCUUGCCAUCGGAUGUGCCCAGAUGGGAUUAGCUAGUAGGUGGGGUAAAGGCUCACCUAGGCGACGAUCCCUAGCUGGUCUGAGAGGAUGACCAGCCACACUGGAACUGAGACACGGUCCAGACUCCUACGGGAGGCAGCAGUGGGGAAUAUUGCACAAUGGGCGCAAGCCUGAUGCAGCCAUGCCGCGUGUAUGAAGAAGGCCUUCGGGUUGUAAAGUACUUUCAGCGGGGAGGAAGGGAGUAAAGUUAAUACCUUUGCUCAUUGACGUUACCCGCAGAAGAAGCACCGGCUAACUCCGUGCCAGCAGCCGCGGUAAUACGGAGGGUGCAAGCGUUAAUCGGAAUUACUGGGCGUAAAGCGCACGCAGGCGGUUUGUUAAGUCAGAUGUGAAAUCCCCGGGCUCAACCUGGGAACUGCAUCUGAUACUGGCAAGCUUGAGUCUCGUAGAGGGGGGUAGAAUUCCAGGUGUAGCGGUGAAAUGCGUAGAGAUCUGGAGGAAUACCGGUGGCGAAGGCGGCCCCCUGGACGAAGACUGACGCUCAGGUGCGAAAGCGUGGGGAGCAAACAGGAUUAGAUACGU
Molecule: ribosomal RNA, 723 nt
Filed under: Escherichia coli
Lineage: Bacteria; Pseudomonadati; Pseudomonadota; Gammaproteobacteria; Enterobacterales; Enterobacteriaceae
Description: bacterial SSU rRNA
Rfam family: Bacterial small subunit ribosomal RNA
Source: RNAcentral